Molecule: ribosomal RNA, 1982 nt
Filed under: Salmonella enterica
Lineage: Bacteria; Pseudomonadati; Pseudomonadota; Gammaproteobacteria; Enterobacterales; Enterobacteriaceae
Description: partial 23S ribosomal RNA
Rfam family: Bacterial large subunit ribosomal RNA
Source: RNAcentral
AGAAUGUUAUCACGGGAGACACACGGCGGGUGCUAACGUCCGUCGUGAAGAGGGAAACAACCCAGACCGCCAGCUAAGGUCCCAAAGUCAUGGUUAAGUGGGAAACGAUGUGGGAAGGCCCAGACAGCCAGGAUGUUGGCUUAGAAGCAGCCAUCAUUUAAAGAAAGCGUAAUAGCUCACUGGUCGAGUCGGCCUGCGCGGAAGAUGUAACGGGGCUAAACCAUGCACCGAAGCUGCGGCAGCGACGCUGAUGCGUUGUUGGGUAGGGGAGCGUUCUGUAAGCCUGUGAAGGUGGCCUGUGAGGGUUGCUGGAGGUAUCAGAAGUGCGAAUGCUGACAUAAGUAACGAUAAAGCGGGUGAAAAGCCCGCUCGCCGGAAGACCAAGGGUUCCUGUCCAACGUUAAUCGGGGCAGGGUGAGUCGACCCCUAAGGCGAGGCCGAAAGGCGUAGUCGAUGGGAAACGGGUUAAUAUUCCCGUACUUGGUGUUACUGCGAAGGGGGGACGGAGAAGGCUAUGUUGGCCGGGCGACGGUUGUCCCGGUUUAAGCGUGUAGGUGUGUGUUCCAGGUAAAUCCGGUUCACUUUAACACUGAGGCGUGAUGACGAGGCACUACGGUGCUGAAGCAACAAAUGCCCUGCUUCCAGGAAAAGCCUCUAAGCAUCAGGUAACAUCAAAUCGUACCCCAAACCGACACAGGUGGUCAGGUAGAGAAUACCAAGGCGCUUGAGAGAACUCGGGUGAAGGAACUAGGCAAAAUGGUGCCGUAACUUCGGGAGAAGGCACGCUGACACGUAGGUGAAGUGAUUUACUCAUGGAGCUGAAGUCAGUCGAAGAUACCAGCUGGCUGCAACUGUUUAUUAAAAACACAGCACUGUGCAAACACGAAAGUGGACGUAUACGGUGUGACGCCUGCCCGGUGCCGGAAGGUUAAUUGAUGGGGUCAGCGCAAGCGAAGCUCCUGAUCGAAGCCCCGGUAAACGGCGGCCGUAACUAUAACGGUCCUAAGGUAGCGAAAUUCCUUGUCGGGUAAGUUCCGACCUGCACGAAUGGCGUAAUGAUGGCCAGGCUGUCUCCACCCGAGACUCAGUGAAAUUGAACUCGCUGUGAAGAUGCAGUGUACCCGCGGCAAGACGGAAAGACCCCGUGAACCUUUACUAUAGCUUGACACUGAACAUUGAGCCUUGAUGUGUAGGAUAGGUGGGAGGCUUUGAAGUGUGGACGCCAGUCUGCAUGGAGCCGGCCUUGAAAUACCACCCUUUAAUGUUUGAUGUUCUAACGUGGACCCGUGAUCCGGGUUGCGGACAGUGUCUGGUGGGUAGUUUGACUGGGGCGGUCUCCUCCUAAAGAGUAACGGAGGAGCACGAAGGUUGGCUAAUCCUGGUCGGACAUCAGGAGGUUAGUGCAAUGGCAUAAGCCAGCUUGACUGCGAGCGUGACGGCGCGAGCAGGUGCGAAAGCAGGUCAUAGUGAUCCGGUGGUUCUGAAUGGAAGGGCCAUCGCUCAACGGAUAAAAGGUACUCCGGGGAUAACAGGCUGAUACCGCCCAAGAGUUCAUAUCGACGGCGGUGUUUGGCACCUCGAUGUCGGCUCAUCACAUCCUGGGGCUGAAGUAGGUCCCAAGGGUAUGGCUGUUCGCCAUUUAAAGUGGUACGCGAGCUGGGUUUAGAACGUCGUGAGACAGUUCGGUCCCUAUCUGCCGUGGGCGCUGGAGAACUGAGGGGGGCUGCUCCUAGUACGAGAGGACCGGAGUGGACGCAUCACUGGUGUUCGGGUUGUCAUGCCAAUGGCACUGCCCGGUAGCUAAAUGCGGAAGAGAUAAGUGCUGAAAGCAUCUAAGCACGAAACUUGCCCCGAGAUGAGUUCUCCCUGAGACUUAGAGUCUCCUGAAGGAACGUUGAAGACGACGACGUUGAUAGGCCGGGUGUGUAAGCGCAGCGAUGCGUUGAGCUAACCGGUACUAAUGAACCGUGAGGCUUAACCUU